GUCCCUUCCAACCCUAACUACUCUGUGACCAGGGUCUGUGCUCUCUGCUGCUCCACCACACUGGGAACAGUGCCAGAAAGCAUUUGAAUAAGCAGCCAAAUUAAUCUGAAAUACUUAAUCAGGUAUUCACAGAAGCACAGAAUUAUUUAUGUUAAUAGGGUCCUCUUGUGAUCAUCUUGUCCCACUCUGCUACAGCACAAGAACUCAUGCAAUGAGUGGUGGCCUGGCAGCAGGAUGAGCUUUGAAACAGCCUGCAGUUUCAGAAGGGCUAGAAAUACACAAGUGACUUUAUUGUUCCCAUCCUGUUAGUAGCUCCUCUUGGAAAAUGGCUCAGAGUAAAGUCAUUUUAUUUUACUCUAAUGAGUGAAAUAAAACUAGAGAAAUAUAAAACAGAGAUAUAAAGUGGCUGGUGAGAUGCAUCAUGUUCAUAACCAUGUGUAGCGAAUGAAUGUUUUAGGUUGCUUAAAGAAUCACAGCAAAGAUAUCAGCAAAAGCAGGGUUAAUAUAAAAGUGAAAGCGCAACAAAGUUCACUGGCAAGGUUCACUCUACUGCUUACUAGAUGGUUAAAGCGCACAGAGAAAAAGCAAACUAAAAUCUGAAAUCAAUCAAUCUAAAACCAAAAUCAACCCAAAAAUUAUUUACAUGGAGGCUGAGGGGAGUGUGGGAAGUGUAAGGAUAGGAAAGGCAGGGUGUGGGGUGGGGGGAAGCGUAUGGAUAGGAAAUGGUAAGGAUAAAAAGGAAUUAGGGAGACCCUCCCACUGAGUCACAAGGUUCAGAGUGGACUCCCUUGCCAAACUUAGGCCCUGACUUGACCAACAGUUUAGGCCUAAAGGUUCAACAGCACUUAACAGUAUUUAAUGAGUAGCUUAAUUUAAACAAUUUAGCAACAGAGUCAUAUAGAAUUUACUAUAACACAACAGUAACUCACUUAUAAACCUUAGUUACAAAUCUAAUGUACUUAAGAAUCUAAGAGAGCAACCUUCAUAGUACAUUUGCUACAGCAUAUUCACAUUCGCAUGCACACAGACCUAAAGAGUAUGUACAAAGUACAUACCUGUGAAAAAUUCUCCUCAAAUUCAGUGAAGGACUUGUGUAGGAUAGCUUUGUAUCAGCCCAGACUCUGUCCUCGGCGUUUGGUGGCGGUCCUUUGAAUAUUGCAAACUUGAGAGUCCACUAGGUCUGAGGAUAGUCCCACUCAGAGAAAGAUUGUUGGUUGCAACCUGCUGUGGUCCAGGAGAGCUCAGAGGAUCUCACUAAGGACCACUGUAUAGAAUCACAAGAGAGUUGGCUUUAGUCAUAGUAAUUUUUCAUCCUGGCCACAAUUUGGGUCAGUAACUUUCUUGGGAAGUUUGAUAACAAAAAUGUUGUUCCACUUGGGUUGUUUUUCAGGCAAGAGAAGUUCCCAAGGCUGUUUGUUAAAAAUCAGAAGCUCAUUAGACAGCUUAAGUUCCUGGGAGUAGACAGCGUUUCUGAUAAGCUCAAGAGGGGCUUAGCCCAGGUGCUGUUCGUUGAGGCUGAGGCCUCAUGAGCAUUUUUGAGAUCACGGUGCAGCCGGAGGAGGAGGAAGAGGAGAGGGAAUGCACUACCACACCAUAACCACCUGGCACUCCAAGUUUUAAAGUGCUAUCACCUUCACUGAAUUUUCCCAGCAGGCAUUAGGUUAAAUUCAACAUGAAACAUGAAUUUCCUGGGAUUGUUCAUUGUCAGCUGCCUCCUGCUAAGGAUUUUUACAUUUAAUUAGAGGACAUGUUUCAUACCUGUCGUGCAAGGUGAACACCUGCUGCCUCUGGCUGCCCAUACCUCUAAGGUUGCUGAUGUUCAGUAUUUGUUCUUUUUUUAGUGUCUAAAGCUACCUGAGAAAUCAAGGCCACUUCCUCCCAGUCAGAUAAUAAAAAACAUAGUCCUUGCCCCAGAGAGCUUAUGAAGCAAAAACGUUAGCGAGAGAAUAAAGAGGGUUUUUUCCCUGUUCCUGCUGACUGAGUUUGCUGAAAUGAUAUCCUGCUGUGAUACACACAGGAGGAGCAAGGAGCAUAAAGCACAUAUGUGGCUCUAGCGCAUAUAAAUGCUUUACUGUGGGCAACCCCAGGAGUGACCCUGACCUUCAGCACUGUCUCUGAGUACAACAGGAUAUUCACCAUUAGCCACUUAUGUGCUUAUCAGCAAAUAGAGAUGCUGAUCUGUGACAUAUAAAAAUGCUAUACUGCAGAUUUUGAAAAGAGGUGGCCCCCUUCAGCUUGUGAUAAAUCCUGUUCGGAAGCAAUGCAUAGCCUCAAAGGAGGAAACUGAAGAAUGGAAAAAGACAAGCAUUCCUCCACAGCCCGUACAGCCCAAGAGAUUAAGCCAUGACCAUCUGCAGCACCAGAACAGAGAACACCACACAGAUAUGUGGGCCUCCAAGGAGCCAGCCAAAAUCUGCACAGGCCCCAGAAAAAUAUAGUACUCUAGUGUUUCAUGUGAGCAACUACACCCUGCCAGCGCGCUGCAGAGCACAGUGCGGACACUGGAGUGCAUCAGCUGUGUCGGAUGUGAGCUCUGUGGGUGCAAGGUGCCCCGCACAGCUCGGCGGUGUGCCAGCACAUCCUCCCGUACCUCUGCUCACAGGAUUUUCCCACCACCCUGAGCGCCUGAGCUCCACAUUCCAGCUACCCGCUGACAAUGUCUCUGUUCUUGGGAAGCUGUAAUUCGCGGCUCUUGCCAGCAUGUGGCACAAGAGACGGAGCAGGCUGCCCGCACUGCCGAGACUAAAACCGACCGACUUUUUAAAACGUCUGGCCAGUCGCUGCCGAGUCUGUGCUCCGACGCCGUCAGCAGUGUAUUCCAUCAGGAGCAAAGGUUCUCCAGGUUUCUUAUGGCACAGUAGUGAUGUUUCUUUACACACACACACACACAACACGAUUACAUAUGGAUCAGACCGUGACUAGAUAAUAGAAAGCACAAGGAAAAAGGUACUGAAAUGCCAUCUCUUUUGCAAGCAAGAGAGUGAGAGGAACUCCUGCUCGUGUCAGUAAUUAUCAAAAGUCAGAAUCUCAUGCACAGAAAUGGUGCCCUUCCAGCAAUUAAACCGUGAACAGUUAGUGACAUAUUGAAUAAGGGCUCUCAAAUGUAUAAAUGCAUUGAUACAGCUGGGCAUGCAAACUAGCAGGGCACUAAGCAAAGCAGAUGCUGAAAAAGCUCUAUUUAGUGAGCCAGAAUUAACUUGAUCUCAUUGUUUUUAUGCAUCUUCCACAGAUGAACAGAUUGAUUACACUCAAAUACCUUCCUUUUUAAGUGAUUCCACUUAUUCCAGUUCUUUGCUGAUGCCUGUUUCUCAUCGAUUUUACUUGGCUACAGUCACUAGGGAGCUAGAUGCUUCAUGGUCACCAGCUCUGUAAUAAAGAUGAGGGAAUUAUAUCUCACACUGGCAGACUUUUAUGGCCCUGAACUACUGCAUUAUAGGACAUCACCAGAUUUUCAUACUUCUAAGUCCAUCUUCAUGUGCUUGGGCACAACAGUUCAGCAUGACUCAGUAGCAUACAAGAGCAUGGACUGAGCUAAGGACUGUUGUUGUAACCUCUGUAACCUUGAAUCACAGCACGGCUUUGCUCCAUCUGCAUGAUAUGAUUUCUAAUCUUAGGAACAAAGCCAGCCAUGCAGAAGUCCUGAAGACAAAGAGCUGGAUCAGCAGGGAAUUGGGAAAAUGGAUGGAAGGGCAGAUGAAGAUGAACCAAAUACUAAUGCUAGCAGUUACAAGAGUUCUGAGAGGCUGCUGUACCUGCCCCCCCAGCUCUCAUUAUUUAAUAGGUCUGGAAACCCCCACUGUUUCAAUCUGCCAUUCUGGAUUAUUUCUCACCAAACUACAGACAACUGCAUUCACAUGCCUGUGCUUAAACCUUUUAUGUCUCACUGGCACCUGCAUUCAGAGAUAUUUCAGCACUGAAUUUACUCUUGCCUUAGUGUCUGUCUCCUAGAAAAGACAAGACCACAGCAUAUCAGGAGAGAUGACAGUUAUUAUCAGCCUGUUGUAUACAGUGCCAGGGCUGACAUGAAGAUUAUUCUGGCCUUGGGGAGCAAAGGGAGGUGAGGUAUUUUGAAAGAGAGCUACAAGAAUGAAGAUAAAAAUCACAUAAAGUUUUCCUAUCUCCUUCUGGCUUUGUUCCUCUGUAUUUCCACUCAGCUGAAAUGUUGUAACUAUAUGCCAGGCUUGGCAAAACGACAGGAGCAAGAAGAAAGUAAGAAUAUGCUCAAGGAAAGAGACGUUCAAAACUCCCCUCUGAACUCGUAGAGCUGAGAGAAAGGCAACUGGCACCAGGGUAAUGUUUCCUUGUAACACAAUGCCAUCUGCUGGGACUUGCUAUAGCAGAUGAGGCAGUGAAAAUGAACUUGGGAUAAACAAGUCCAAUAAGGCUAGAAAACGCAUGCUGCCAUGUCAACACAGACUGAUCACAUUUGCAGUUAGCAACAAGCUAAGAAUGCAAGGACAACGGGAAAGAAAAAACCCAAUUUGGCUAAGAAUUCAUGUUGUGUAGAUGAGUUCCAAGGUACAGAGAUUUGAUCUGUCUGUGUGAAGGGAUUUAAAAUGGAGUGGAAAAAUAAUGUUGGGGGGGGCUCAUAAAACCUUUGGGAGAUGAGAGAGGAAUGAGCUACAGUAUUUGCAGUCAAAAUUAAGAUUUGGAUAGGUUAAAAUAGGUGUAUGUGUUUAAAGCCCAUCAAGGUGGGCUUUCCAGAGUAGAUUUUAGUUGUAUCUCUAUACAACUUGCUGGUGUGUGCAUGGGCCGUGCUUCUGGGUUGCAGCCUUUGCCCUUCCCCACUGCCUCUGCCAUCAUGGGCUAUGAGACCUUUGCAGUGAGUCAGUAAGUAAGAUCCCUAAAGCAUCAAGCUGCAGCAUAUCAGAAUGCAUGUUUUCUCUCCUGGCUUUUUAAAAUGUUAUGAGUUGCUUUGUAAUUCAGUCAUGGUUUUCUCAUCCUGUGAGCUUAUGUACAACUCAGAUUUUUUAAAAGGUAGUUUUCAGCCUGCAUUCAGUGAGCAUUUGACUGGUAACGAACUUUUACUGGGUGCCAUACAGCAACUUUACUUAAAUACACCUUUAGCCCAAAAUACCAGUUACACGUGUACCUAAUGUUAGGAGGGUGUCUGAAAUGCCAUUAUAGGAAAUGCAAUAAGACUUCACAAGAUGAGGAUGAAAGGCAUCUGUACAGUAUUUACUAGGACUGACCACAGUAAUAACAUGGGAAAUGGAGAACAGUCCAUCUUCACUGGAUUGCAGAAACAAGAGAAUAUGCUAAUAAUCCAAGUUGUUCCUGCUUCAUAAAUGGUGUUAUAUUUGUGUUUUCGGUCUGUUUUAAAAUACUGAAAGCAGAAUGUGUGUUUUGAGAAACUGAUUCAUAGGGGAAGAAAAGUUUUUAAAUGGGAAGAGGCCUAAAGCUCAGUCUUCAUCCAGGUUCCCAAAGGAAUGAUCUGUUAACAAAUAUAUCAGCUGUGGAUUGCUCAUCUACAAAGGGGUGUUAUUUCAGGCUUUUGGAUACUAACUAGAAUUUCUUGAGAUGUGGUUACGUACCGAUAUAUGCAGCUCCAUCGGUCACCAUAUAUUUGUUACGAUUUAAUUUGGGAAGGGAAGCGUUCUUCUGUUCUUUAAGAAAGCAUGCACUCUCUUCCUCAAGGUCAAAGAAUUUCUGCCAUAAAAUAGAAUGGAGCACAGGUUAAUGAGCAUUGCUCUAUAAGAGACAGAAAAAGCAUGGCUUGUUCUCUAAUUUUUACUGAAAAUGAGUUAGUGCUACAGAACAGCUUGAGUUUUUAUAGCCAACCGUUAAUUUUAUAAAACACUGCACACUGUAUUUCUUAGUAAAUUCUCACAGGUUAUGAUACUCUUGUCUUGGCAGUCUAAACUACAAAAAGUAUAUGGCUACUGCAUGCCAAAAGAAAUACAGAGCCAGGUAAUAAAGGCAGUGAAAUGAACAAAAAACCCCCAUCUUUGUGUUCUGCAUGGAG
Long non-coding RNA from Pipra filicauda (Wire-tailed manakin), 5965 nucleotides. RefSeq lists it as uncharacterized. The record is from RefSeq and is a predicted model, not a curated record. Lineage: Eukaryota; Metazoa; Chordata; Aves; Passeriformes; Pipridae. The transcript is spliced from 3 exons.